This 279-nucleotide ribosomal RNA is filed under the name uncultured bacterium. Its description in RNAcentral is "partial 16S ribosomal RNA". It matches the Rfam family "Bacterial small subunit ribosomal RNA", at positions 506 to 784 of the family's 1533-position model. The record is from RNAcentral.
UGCCAGCAGCCGCGGUAAUACGUAGGUGGCAAGCGUUAUCCGGAUUUAUUGGGCGUAAAGAGAGUGCAGGCGGUUUUCUAAGUCUGAUGUGAAAGCCUUCGGCUUAACCGGAGAAGUGCAUCGGAAACUGGAUAACUUGAGUGCAGAAGAGGGUAGUGGAACUCCAUGUGUAGCGGUGGAAUGCGUAGAUAUAUGGAAGAACACCAGUGGCGAAGGCGGCUACCUGGUCUGCAACUGACGCUGAGGCUCGAAAGCAUGGGUAGCGAACAGGAUUAGAUA